RNAcentral lists this long non-coding RNA (3054 nucleotides) under Bemisia tabaci. Its description in RNAcentral is "lncRNA ENSSSA2NGG004803". The record is from RNAcentral. Lineage: Eukaryota; Metazoa; Arthropoda; Insecta; Hemiptera; Aleyrodidae.
GGAGACAACGUAUUAUAGAAGCUUUACAAUGUUCAUCCCUUUACGAUGUAAAAAAUUUCGAAGGGCAACAUUCAGAUUGUCCUUAUGCUGACCUAGAAUCAAAGUGUUGCUCAAUCUGUUUUGCAAAUAUACUAUGUUUGCCAAACUUGUUCUGCUGACCGAUGCUUAAUCCAUCAUUCAGCAGACAUGAUUAAGCUCAGUAAGUUGCUCAAAGAUCAUAAUUUAUCGAGAAAUUUGGCGUCAAUCUUUGAUUUGACGUUUGCUUUACCCAACUACUUAGUUCUACAAGAGAACCUUUUUAAUGCCAGCAGAUAACUUUUACACUUUAAGAGCAGGUCUUUAUAUCGGAAGGUUUGUGAUAUAUUUUGUCCCUGCCGACUAUUGAAAGGAUACUAAUGAAUGAUGAAUAAUACGUAGUUUUUGCUUGUUUCAGAACAACAAACCAAUAAUGGAGAAAAAACGCCGAGCUCGAAUCAAUAAUUGCCUAAGCGAGCUGAAAUCAUUGAUCCUGGACGCAAUGAAGAAAGACCCGGCCCGGCACUCGAAGCUGGAGAAAGCGGAUAUCCUGGAGAUGACCGUAAAACACCUGCAAUCCGUGCAAAAACAACAACUAUCCGUAGCCAUGGCGGCCGACCCGACGGUGGUGCAUAAGUUCAAACAGGGUUCAGCGAGUGCGCGACAGAGGUAAACCGCUUCAUCGGGCGCCUAGACGGCAUCGACGCCGGGCUCAAACAACGGCUGGCCGCCCACCUCGGGAGCUGCGUCACCGGGCUUCAGCAGAUCGCCCCGACGACGAUGUUCCCGCCAUCGACCCCGGCCAUGCCCACCCCCGACGACCUGAACAACAACCAGCGGCUCCAGGCCCUCUCCGUCCAGCUCAUCCCCUCGCGACUCCCGACGGGGGAGUUCGCCUUCGUGCUCCCCAACAGCUCCCGCGGGGGGAGCGCCUUCACGGCCGUGCACAAGGACGACGACGCCGGCCUCCUCAGCCCCGAGUCGACCUCCUCCUCGCCCGUCUUUGACGCCCCCGGACACUCGGAGGUCACCUCCACCACCCUCGAGUUCAAGAUCCCGCAGAGGAACUUCAACAAGAGCCUCAUGAAGAACCGAAUCGUCUACCAGUCGCAAGCCGCCAAGCUGCGAGCGGAGGAAGGGCUCCUCAAAGAGCUUACCGAUUUCCCGAGGGAGGAGAGCAAUUAUGAGGACAAGCGCGAUCUCUUUGCGAGGUCGUUCCUGACGCCACAAAAGCUGAAACCUUUGACCGUAAUCACUUCUGAGGACCGGGGUUUCCACCCGACCGGCAAGAACCCGCUGGACUUCUCCAUGAAGCGUCUCGUAGAAUCGCCGACCAUAAAAUCGGAGCCGGAUCUCGAGUCCAGGCCGAUUGGCCUCCUCCUUCCAAAGAGUUUGAAACCCGAACUGGAUCUGAAACCCGAGUUGGAUCUGAGUCAAGAUUCAGGCUUCCUGAAGCGAGGCCACGACCGAAGUCCUGACGAAGAUGGACCCGGGGCCAAAAGGGCCAAGGUGGAGUCCUCGGAAGAGGACGGCGAUUCGCCGAGACCCAAGUCCGAGAGCUCGCCUCUGUCGUCGUCCACGUUGUCCACGUCCACCCUGUCCACGUCUACCUUGUCUACGUCAAGCGGAUCGUCCAGCGUCGAGAAGGACAGCAUGUGGCGACCCUGGUGAUGUUUCCUCAUCGGGUCUCAGGUUAAUACUCCCAGAGCUCGCCUUUGUCGUCAUCCACGCUGCCUUCGUCCACACUGUCCACGCCCAGCGCUCCGGGCGCGCGAGAAAGACAGUAUUUGGCAACUGUGGUGACGUAUAUUUCUUGGGUCUCAGGUUAAGAAUCCACGGCUCGGCUGUGAUGAUAUGAAAUGGAGCAGGGGUGCCAUUUGGAGGGAAAGGGUAUGAGGUAGCAAACUGUCCCAGCUUGCAUCGAAAAUUUGACAAUUUUAGUUUUAUCAAUUUCGUGUUCAUUUAUUAAUUUUUUGUCAAAUGCGCAAUUAUUUUUCCGUUUAUCGUCAUUGUUUAAAAAUAAUCCUUGCGUUAAAAAUUAAAACGUAUACCGUGUUUCGCGGCCAACAUGGCUUACAUUUCUCCGAUAAAUAUUUUUAAGAUUGACCUUACCCAAGGGUAUACACCGAGAAUUGUAUAACUUGUUCUCAGCUUUCAUUUUAAGAAUUCUUUGAAAUUGCUUCCUCUGUAAAGAACAAAUUCUCUCCCCCCCUCCCAAGUCUGAGCCGUGGACUAUAUUUUAAGUACGUGAAUGAAAAAGACUUCUUAGAAUUAAUAAUUGUUUUUCGUAGUUUUAAAUUAUUUUAAUUAUUUCUAUUCUGAAUUAACUCGUUAGUGAUUUAUUUUGUACCUCAGGAAUCGUCCCAGCUUUAAUUUAUGAUUGGAUAAAGGUUCGCAGAAAGGAAUCAAGGCGCAGUAUGGAAAAUGUGUCACGAAGGAAUUCAAACGUAAUAUAAGCAUGGCAUUCUCAUGCCACAAAACCAAAAUCCCACAAAUAAUUUCUGGUAAUCCAAAUACUUACCCAAAGUUAAUUUUUCACACUGAGUGUUGGGCAAUCUCAAACCUCAAUCUCAAACCUCUAUUCUCUGUUAUAAUAACGUAAUGUGACUUGGUGCCUCUCUGUUUUAAAGUCACCUCAAUUUUAAUACUGGAUAUUAGAUUUUUCUAAGGAUAUGCAGUAUGCCAGUUAUGAUAUGCGAUUGAAAAAAAAAAUGAAUUCUAAGUCUGGGAAUUGGUAUCCAUUCUUGUUACCCUUUUGUAUUUUGUAUUUUUGUUGAACUAGCUCAUGUCUGUGAAUAUAUUUAAUGCUCCUGUAAAACACUUUUAACGUGCCUUUAUAAUCACGUAUGUCUUUCUGGAUAAAGUGAAUAAUUUGCACGAUGUAAAAAUAAAUUGUUAUUGAAAAGCUUAAAUAGGUUCCUUUUUCUCAGGCAUAAACACCAUAAUGUCACUGAUGAAAGUUCAAAAACGCAUGCAUGUAUGUGCGUCCAAUUCUGCAAAUUUAAAUAUGAGACACUCUACUCUAUUGAUUGUUUUCUA